Long non-coding RNA from Symphalangus syndactylus (siamang), 436 nucleotides. RefSeq lists it as uncharacterized. The record is from RefSeq and is a predicted model, not a curated record. Lineage: Eukaryota; Metazoa; Chordata; Mammalia; Primates; Hylobatidae.
GUGGCAGUCAUUAUCGUCAUUAUCACUAUUAUCAGCGCAUAUUUUAUGGUGCCUUGAUUAAGUGGAGGCACCCUGCUAGGUACAGUUAAGGACUUUACCUUUCUAGAAGAUACUGUCACCGUUUUUAAGGAGUGUCCCAUCUCCAUUUCUGGCCCAGAGUGUUGCAGAAACCACAUGGAGAUCCCUGAGACUAAAGGAAGAAAAAGAGGGUCCCAGCUUUAUACGAGCCCAGUGUUAUAGCUGUUCCCAUCAAGGCACCUUGACAUAUAAGUGAAACAACCUUGGACUCUGCACACCAAUGUGGCCACAACUGAACAACAGCAAAUAACCCCAAUCAAUACUACUUGGAGCAGAAGAAUCACCCAGUUUGUCUCUACCCAUCUUCCUGACCCACAAAAUCCUGAGAUAAAGUAAAAUGAUUAUUGUUUUAAAUACA